CCUACGGGAGGCAGCAGUGGGGAAUAUUGGACAAUGGGGGGAACCCUGAUCCAGCCAUGCCGCGUGUGUGAAGAAGGCCCUCGGGUUGUAAAGCACUUUCAGUGAGGAAGAACGCCUGGUGGUUAAUACCCAUCAGGAAAGACAUCACUCACAGAAGAAGCACCGGCUAACUCCGUGCCAGCAGCCGCGGUAAUACGGAGGGUGCGAGCGUUAAUCGGAAUUACUGGGCGUAAAGCGCGCGUAGGUGGCUUGAUAAGCCGGUUGUGAAAGCCCCGGGCUCAACCUGGGAACGGCAUCCGGAACUGUCAAGCUAGAGUGCAGGAGAGGAAGGUAGAAUUCCCGGUGUAGCGGUGAAAUGCGUAGAGAUCGGGAGGAAUACCAGUGGCGAAGGCGGCCUUCUGGACUGACACUGACACUGAGGUGCGAAAGCGUGGGUAGCAAACAGGAUUAGAUACCCCUGUGUC
This 464-nucleotide ribosomal RNA is filed under the name Vreelandella stevensii. RNAcentral describes it as "partial 16S ribosomal RNA". It matches the Rfam family "Bacterial small subunit ribosomal RNA", at positions 338 to 795 of the family's 1533-position model. Lineage: Bacteria; Pseudomonadati; Pseudomonadota; Gammaproteobacteria; Oceanospirillales; Halomonadaceae. The record is from RNAcentral.